AAAAAACAAAAAGCCAAGAAAAUAAUAUUAAUAUCAAAGUCUAUUUACAAAAAAAAAAACAGAUCAACGCAAAUUACAAGCCCAAGCCUCAACUACCCUAACCCAAACCUGCUAAACUCAGUAGCCCAAAGGCCCAAAACCUAAAAAAAUUCAGAAAUCUUAGCUCCCUUUCGCACCGCAGCGUCGCCACGUCAGCAAGCAUGCUGUCUGACACCUCCUUUGCCACCACCGCCGUUGACUUCGCCCUUUGCCACCCCUGCCUAUAAAAAAGGGGAAAAAGACAAAAAAAGCAGAGGAUAGAAAGCAGAAGUAGAGAAACAGCGAAAAACAAAAAAGAAAGAAAAAAAUAUCUGUAUUUUAAUUCGGCUAUAGAAGUCGAAUAAAAUCCCUAUGUAUUUUACAGACUGAAGAAAUCAAUAGAAUACAAAAAAAAAGAGCAACAACAUGUUUAACAAAAAAAGGUAGUUACUUUUUUAUUUCAAAAUAUAAAAACAAAAAACAAAAAAGGCUAGAUUUUUUUUUACCUAUUUUGCUGCAUCACCGCCGUGGGUGGUCCCAUCAGCUUGAAAGGUUGCUAAAUCCCUAGGAAUUUGUCUAAGGCCGCAUGGAAAAACUGAAAGGUUUUAUUGUUGUUGAGAUUUCAUCGUUUUCAGGGGAUUUUAACCCCAUAACCGUGUUCUCUGGUAGUCAGGGUUCAAAAGGCGAAGUUUUGGGAACUCUAGCCACCGUAGGCGGCGGUCUCCGUCAUCGAUGAUCGGUGGCCACGACGGAGAUCUAUCAUCCUUGUGACUAGGUGAGGGGGGA
This 804-nucleotide long non-coding RNA is filed under the name Gossypium barbadense (sea-island cotton). Its description in RNAcentral is "long non-coding RNA (GBAR_LNC001766)". Lineage: Eukaryota; Viridiplantae; Streptophyta; Magnoliopsida; Malvales; Malvaceae. The record is from RNAcentral.